UUAUUUAUUCAAUAAAAUUUUGUUGAAACCUUAACCUUAUCUGUUCUUAUCAGUUUAAUAUCUGAUACGUCCCCUAUCUGGGGACCAUAUAUUAAAUGGAUUUUUGAGAACGGGGGGCGAUUUCGAAGCUUGCUUCCGUCGCCCUAUGCAUUGACCCGAUAUGGCAGUAUCUUCGGGUACAGUGCACCACCC
Molecule: small nuclear RNA, 192 nt
Organism: Hyla sarda
Lineage: Eukaryota; Metazoa; Chordata; Amphibia; Anura; Hylidae
Product: U2 spliceosomal RNA
Exons: 1
Source: RefSeq, a predicted model, not a curated record